AUUAAAAAUAGUGUAAGAAAAAAUGAUUUUAUUGUAAUAAAAGCGUGGGGUGCAUGAUAUCAGUAGUUAUAAAUAUUUUAUGAACAGAUAUGAGUAGAAGGGUUAUUUUAAUAAUAUCCUGAAAAGCACCCUACGCUUUCUUAGUUGGAUUUUCUAUAAAAGCGUUUUUUUUUUUUUUAACUAUUAUUUAUUAAGCAUUGAACAUUGUUAUAGUGAAUUCGAUGAAUCAAAAAAAAGAGAUUAAUAUUACAGUAUAUCUACUAAGCCGUUUGUAAAUCUUAAUGGGUAUUCCUUGCAUAAACAAGUUACACAACACAGCGUCGCUGAGACGCCUCUUCUGGUUGCUAGGCAACCGUGCAGCCAAUCGAUAACCACCCUAGCGUGAUCCAUUCAUACCCUAACAAUGAAUCUAAGCAUUUUUGUGUUUAUUCAUUAAUUUGGUCGAUGACAGAAAAUAUUGUUAGGAUUUUUAAUUUGACAAAAUUUGAUGUAUUUUGAACUUGUAUCGUGUUUUCCUGUAAGCAUAGUAAUGUAUUAAGCUGUAGUUUUUAAUUAUCCUAGACUCCAGAAAGCCGAAAUAAAUACUAGAUUAUUAUAACGUGUGGUUGAAUAUAAAUGCCAUUAUUAAGCGGUGUACUUUUCUUGGUGUCUAUAUUAUAAUCGAAGACAAAGUCUUAGACUAAUUUAGUAAUAAUUAUAGACGACAUAUAGACAUAACUAUAGUGUACCGGCAUAAUAUUGAUAUAAUUGUUUCCGGAUUGACUGAAGUGAAAAUGUUUAUUUGCUGAACCUCAUCCUAAAAUUUACAUCACCUCGUCAUUACUAUAAAGCAUAUUAAAUUAUUUACAUUUCACACGUACGUUAAAGUUUCAAAGUGCAUAAUUAGUACUUUGCCUUUAUGACUUUAUCAUCCAAGGUAUGGACAUAAUGACUUUCACUAGCACAAAAUAAAUUUAGUUAUUAACCGACUUCAAAAAAGGAUUCUCAAUACGAGUUUAUGUGUCUUAUACCAAAAAAAUUUUCUAAGUGACUUGAUUUUGAUGAUUCUUUACUUAAUUUGAAAGCUGAUGCUUCUCAUUUGGUCUCAUUAAACUUUUAUUAAGAUAUGACCACUAGUUUUUGAGUUACCCUUAAUAAUGCAUACUUAAAUGACUUUGACUACAUUAGUGAAAUUUCCAAUUAAUUUUUAUAAAUGUUUUAUUUAUGUAUGCUAAUCUAUGUUCUCCGUAAGCAGUGAGGUUGUGCCCGCGACCGUAAUGCCAACAAACUCUCAUGAGGAGUGGAACAAAUACACGAAUUAACAUUAAUUUAAUUCAAAUAAAAUUUGGUACGAAGCAAAUUAUUCUCAAGUUAAAAUUUAGUGAUGUGAAUUAAUUUAGAGUCGAGAGAGAGAGUUAUUUAAAUUGACUGUUUUUCGGAUACAUGAAAAUGUAAUAUUAAUUUACUAAUUGCCUAUGCUAUUCACAAUGUAACUGCAAGCGUUUGGUUAAUAAGCUGAUACUUGUGUUCAUGUGAGCGUAUAUUUAGGUCGCCUAAUUAUGUUUCCCAUUGCGGAGAGCCUCCAACCUCCAACCCAGGUAACACCUACUUUUAUUUAAUUAAUAAAAAGUUGGUAGAUGUGAUCUAAAUUUAUUCGAUGAUCAACGGUAAACAGUUCAUUCUACCUUCAGACACUAAAUAGAAGACUAUUUUGUUGGCCUAUCAAAACAUAUAACAAAACCCAUUAUACGUCAUACGUUAGUAUUGCAUACAGACACGUUCAUCAUACAAACUUCACAGAGUAACUAAGAGCGAGGAACAUUGAAAUGAUAAAGUUUUCCAAUUUGUUUUUUCGCUUGGCUUGCGACGACUGACCUCUCACACUGUGACGGCGAUUUAGCGGGCUCAUUUAUAGUUUUGUAUUUAAAUACGUUUUUUGUGCGUUUUCAGGUUACACGUCAACUUAGCGAGAUUCAACUUCUCUGAAGUAACUUAAUGACAACUCGUUUUGACGUCUUGGAAAAAAACGGCAAGAUAGUGGCGACCUGCAAGGCACGGUGCAAACAGUAAAAUAAUUCUUGUUUUUGGCAUCGCAGAAGACCUUAAGUAAACGAUUAUGUGAGGAAGGAAAUUUUCGCAGCUGAAACGUAUAGUACGAAAUCUUAGGCAUUGGCUCUUUUAAGUGAACAUUCGUAAGACGAGAGGCUACGCUCACCGACUCACACAGAUUCUUCAGUUCCGUGGAUCUAAAAAUCGGCUACUCCGACGUAUGAUGGUUGCUGCUUUGCUCGUGUCGAUGAUCAGCCCUCCAGCGUCCCGUCGAGUAACGUCGUGAGGAAGUACACGAGACAGCGCCCGAAGCUCCCAUUCUGUUAACGUGCUGACAUCAAUCUAAUAAACACAUUGGGCUCAAAGGAACAUGAAGCAGAUAUAAUGAUAAUCUUAUUAUUUAUUCGUAGAUAAUAAUAUGAUUUUAAUAUAUUUUGUUAUAUACCUGCUUACGUCUUAUGUAGCUGCAAAUGUAUGUGUCAUAAUAGAUAUUAAUUUUUGGAGUUUACUCCUUUAGAAUCGAUUUACAUAUAUAGGCCCGGGGUAUGAAAAUUAUGGGGACCAAAAUCGUACUAGCAUGUCACACGAAAUGCGUUAUGCGCCUGAUUGGCUCCUGAUUGCGUGAUGCGUGCGCGCGCCAAUCAAAAUCGUACUAGCAUGUCACACGAAAUGCGUUAUGCGCCUGAUUGGCUCCUGAUUGCGUGAUGCGUGCGCGCGCCAAUCAGGAGCCAACGCGCGGCCGCGUUAUUGCAGGUGACGCCGGGCUGCUGCGCCGGCAGUCCGCCACAAAGCCUCGUACUGAUCGCGCGUUUCUCUCAUUAUUGUAUUUUCAUAUAUUUGUUAGUCGUUUGUUUUGUGUCUCGUUAAUUUGUUAAUAAUCUGUAGUGUAUCGUGUUGUCGUAAUAUAGAACUAUUUCUCGUAUUGUUUCGUUUAAUUUUUUAUAUCCAGUAAACUCCAGUCGUGCGUCGGAGCGGACACACACACUUUUUUUUUAUUUUUUUAUUUAUUUCGAUAUCUAUGUAAAUUCUUUGGCGUGUGAAUACUUUGAUAAAGCAUUUUAAACAUAAACGCAUUGUUAUUAUUCAAAA
Molecule: long non-coding RNA, 3117 nt
Organism: Bombyx mori (domestic silkworm)
Lineage: Eukaryota; Metazoa; Arthropoda; Insecta; Lepidoptera; Bombycidae
Exons: 2
Source: RefSeq, a predicted model, not a curated record